RNAcentral lists this long non-coding RNA (1435 nucleotides) under Rhinopithecus bieti (black snub-nosed monkey). RNAcentral's name for it is "lncRNA (ENSRBIG00000046618.1)". The record is from RNAcentral. Lineage: Eukaryota; Metazoa; Chordata; Mammalia; Primates; Cercopithecidae.
GUUCAAGCAACUUAUGAAGUCCACUUUAAUAGGACCAUGAGAUGUGAGAAUGGCGAGGCUGGAGGAGGACAGUCCAGAUCAUGCAGCCACAGCCUGAUGGAAGACUUUGUGUCUUCAAUAGCACAAGAGGGUGGGCCUAGAAGAACUCCAAGACCCAUACGAGACCUGAACGAUCACGAUGCAUGUCUAGACUUGAAACUGGGGUCUCCUGAUGCCAGAUCCAGCUGACCUCUUCUACCGCGUGCCAGAUCCUAGCACACAGGCAGCGCGAGUUCCAGGCGCACAAGCCAGCGAAGAGGCAGCGGCGGCCUCUGAAAGGAACCCCGGCCGGAGGAAAGAGGGUCGUGUUACAGCUCCCAAGAAGGCGCGCGUCGGCCAGCAGCAAAAGCUUAAGAAGAACCUAGAAGUCGGGAUCUGGAAGAAGAUCGAACAUGACGUGGUGAUGAAAGCCAGCAACAGCCUGCCCAAGAAGCUGACACUGCUGAAGGCCCCGACCAAGAAGAAAGGGGAGACUGCUGCCACCUCCUCCAACAACCUUCCUGACAGGACGCUGGCCCCAGCGCAGGCCAGCAUCGCAGCCCCCGCCUCCAUGAUAGGACCUUGCAGGUGAUCCCACAGGCUGCACUGUCAGGAAGAGGACCCUGCUCCCCAGCACUGGGUCUCACCUAGAACUUCACUGGGAGCCUGGCCCUUGGGCAGCAGAUCCUAGGGUGCUGAGAACCCAGCAAUGGCCGGGAAGAUAGAGUCACCAACUUCAUCUGCCCCUGUCCCCCUUCCCAGGUCCUACCUUCACAGGUUCAACCCAGAGCAAUAAACCUGGGUUUAUCAUUUAAAAAAAAAAAAAAAAAUCCAGCUAACAUGUCACUUCCUUCGUGAAGUCCUCUCUGAUCCCUCCAGACAGAUUAGUCUGGUCCUUCCCUCCAUCAUCUGUAUUCCCACAGCAUUCUGUUCAUUUCUCUGUCAUAGCACAGGGACAUAUAGACAGACAGCUAAAGACGCAGCAAGCUGUUUCCCAUUAGACCGGCAGCCUCUGGAGGGCAGAGACGACCAUGGGAUGCCGCGGUGUUAGCACUGCCUCUGGCUCCCAGAAGACGUUUGGUGAGGGGUGACUGAAGCAAUCAACAUGAGGAUGAAUGAACUCCAGGAUGUAUUGUAAAGUGACUUGAAUUUUGAUUCCCAUUUGUUCGAGCCUGCCAAGGCUUAAAUCGCGUUUGUUGGAAUGUGAGAAAAGGAGGAAGAGUGGUAAUUAAAUGUGCUUGAUAAAACUUCUUUAUUUUGUGUUUGGAAUAAAAAUGGGAAGCUUGAGAUAAAACAGUGCUUGUUUCAGUGCUGAACAGGCUUCUCCAAGCAGGGCCUCGUGUCUAAGUGUCUAAUCUUCCCCUCCAAGUGGGGAGGGUGGCACCAGGCUGGGCACUGUCAUGGGGGGCAUUAUAAG